GACGAACGCUGGCGGCGUGCCUAAUACAUGCAAGUAGAACGCUGAAGGAGGAGCUUGCUUCUCUGGAUGAGUUGCGAACGGGUGAGUAACGCGUAGGUAACCUGCCUGGUAGCGGGGGAUAACUAUUGGAAACGAUAGCUAAUACCGCAUAAGAGUAGAUGUUGCAUGACAUUUGCUUAAAAGGUGCAAUUGCAUCACUACCAGAUGGACCUGCGUUGUAUUAGCUAGUUGGUGAGGUAACGGCUCACCAAGGCAACGAUACAUAGCCGACCUGAGAGGGGGAUCGGCCAAAAUGGGACUGGGACCAGGCCCAGACUCCUACGGGAGGCAGCAGUAGGGAAUCUUCGGCAAUGGACGGAAGUCUGACCGAGCAACGCCGCGUGAGUGAAGAAGGUUUUCGGAUCGUAAAGCUCUGUUGUAAGAGAAGAACGAGUGUGAGAGUGGAAAGUUCACACUGUGACGGUAUCUGACCAGAAGGGGACGGCUAACUACGUG
This 495-nucleotide ribosomal RNA is filed under the name uncultured bacterium. RNAcentral describes it as "partial 16S ribosomal RNA". It matches the Rfam family "Bacterial small subunit ribosomal RNA", at positions 28 to 507 of the family's 1533-position model. The record is from RNAcentral.